GCUUGCUACAUUACCUAGCGGCGGACGGGUGAGUAAUGCUUAGGAAUCUGCCUAUUAGUGGGGGACAACAUUCCGAAAGGAAUGCUAAUACCGCAUACGCCCUACGGGGGAAAGCAGGGGAUCUUCGGACCUUGCGCUAAUAGAUGAGCCUAAGUCAGAUUAGCUAGUUGGUGGGGUAAAGGCCUACCAAGGCGACGAUCUGUAGCGGGUCUGAGAGGAUGAUCCGCCACACUGGGACUGAGACACGGCCCAGACUCCUACGGGAGGCAGCAGUGGGGAAUAUUGGACAAUGGGCGAAAGCCUGAUCCAGCCAUGCCGCGUGUGUGAAGAAGGCCUUUUGGUUGUAAAGCACUUUAAGCGAGGAGGAGGCUACCGAGAUUAAUACUCUUGGAUAGUGGACGUUACUCGCAGAAUAAGCACCGGCUAACUCUGUGCCAGCAGCCGCGGUAAUACAGAGGGUGCGAGCGUUAAUCGGAUUUACUGGGCGUAAAGCGUGCGUAGGCGGCUUUUUAAGUCGGAUGUGAAAUCCCUGAGCUUAACUUAGGAAUUGCAUUCGAUACUGGGAAGCUAGAGUAUGGGAGAGGAUGGUAGAAUUCCAGGUGUAGCGGUGAAAUGCGUAGAGAUCUGGAGGAAUACCGAUGGCGAAGGCAGCCAUCUGGCCUAAUACUGACGCUGAGGUACGAAAGCAUGGGGAGCAAACAGGAUUAGAUACCCUGGUAGUCCAUGCCGUAAACGAUGUCUACUAGCCGUUGGGGCCUUUGAGGCUUUAGUGGCGCAGCUAACGC
This 785-nucleotide ribosomal RNA is filed under the name Acinetobacter sp. 46. RNAcentral describes it as "bacterial SSU rRNA". It matches the Rfam family "Bacterial small subunit ribosomal RNA", at positions 78 to 858 of the family's 1533-position model. Lineage: Bacteria; Pseudomonadati; Pseudomonadota; Gammaproteobacteria; Moraxellales; Moraxellaceae. RNAcentral also lists the same sequence under 1 other name. The record is from RNAcentral.